GGUUGAUCCUGCCAGUAGUCAUAUGCUUGUCUCAAGGAUUAAGCCAUGCAUGUCUAAGUAUGAACCUUCAUACGGUGAAACUGCGAACGGCUCAUUACAACAGUUAUCAUUUACUUGGUGAUUGGAUCUCUGAUCCUACAUGGAUACCUGUCGGUAACACCAGAGCUAAUACAUGCACAAACUCUCCGGCCGUCAAAAGUGGAGAGGCAUUUAUUAGAUACCGCCACCCUGCGUUCUUCGCAGGUCGGGUGAUUCAUAGUAACCUUGCGAAUCGCUCAAGCGAGCGAUGAAC
RNAcentral lists this ribosomal RNA (292 nucleotides) under uncultured eukaryote. Its description in RNAcentral is "partial 18S ribosomal RNA". It matches the Rfam family "Eukaryotic small subunit ribosomal RNA", at positions 6 to 295 of the family's 1831-position model. The record is from RNAcentral.